This 1152-nucleotide ribosomal RNA is filed under the name Vibrio splendidus. Its description in RNAcentral is "partial 23S ribosomal RNA". It matches the Rfam family "Bacterial large subunit ribosomal RNA", at positions 393 to 1551 of the family's 2925-position model. The record is from RNAcentral. Lineage: Bacteria; Pseudomonadati; Pseudomonadota; Gammaproteobacteria; Vibrionales; Vibrionaceae.
UCAUAAUCAGUGAAAACGAGUAGGGCGGGACACGUGAUAUCCUGUCUGAAUAUGGGGGGACCAUCCUCCAAGGCUAAAUACUACUGACUGACCGAUAGUGAACCAGUACCGUGAGGGAAAGGCGAAAAGAACCCCUGUGAGGGGAGUGAAAUAGAACCUGAAACCGUGUACGUACAAGCAGUAGGAGCACCUUCGUGGUGUGACUGCGUACCUUUUGUAUAAUGGGUCAGCGACUUAAUUUUAGUAGCAAGGUUAACCGUUUAGGGGAGCCGUAGGGAAACCGAGUCUUAACUGGGCGUACAGUUGCUAGGAUUAGACCCGAAACCAGGUGAUCUAGCCAUGGGCAGGUUGAAGGUUGAGUAACAUCAACUGGAGGACCGAACCGACUAAUGUUGAAAAAUUAGCGGAUGACUUGUGGCUAGGGGUGAAAGGCCAAUCAAACCUGGAGAUAGCUGGUUCUCCCCGAAAGCUAUUUAGGUAGCGCCUCGGACGAAUACUACUGGGGGUAGAGCACUGUUAAGGCUAGGGGGUCAUCCCGACUUACCAACCCUUUGCAAACUCCGAAUACCAGUAAGUACUAUCCGGGAGACACACGGCGGGUGCUAACGUCCGUCGUGGAGAGGGAAACAACCCAGACCGCCAGCUAAGGUCCCAAAGUAUAGCUAAGUGGGAAACGAUGUGGGAAGGCUCAGACAGCCAGGAUGUUGGCUUAGAAGCAGCCAUCAUUUAAAGAAAGCGUAAUAGCUCACUGGUCGAGUCGGCCUGCGCGGAAGAUGUAACGGGGCUAAGCUAUACACCGAAGCUGCGGCUACGUACCUUAGGGUAUGUGGGGUAGGGGAGCGUUCUGUAAGCCGUUGAAGGUGGUCUGUAAGGGCUGCUGGAGGUAUCAGAAGUGCGAAUGCUGACAUGAGUAACGAUAAAGGGAGUGAAAAACUCCCUCGCCGGAAGACCAAGGGUUCCUGUCCAACGUUAAUCGGGGCAGGGUAAGUCGACUCCUAAGGCGAGGCCGAAAGGCGUAGUCGAUGGGAAACGGGUUAAUAUUCCCGUACUUCUUACAAUUGCGAUGGGGGGACGGAGAAGGCUAGGUGGGCCUGGCGACGGUUGUCCAGGUUCAAGUAUGUAGGCGGAAAGUUUAGGUAAAUCCGGACUUUC